RNAcentral lists this ribosomal RNA (580 nucleotides) under Boulenophrys jiangi. RNAcentral describes it as "partial large subunit ribosomal RNA". It matches the Rfam family "Bacterial large subunit ribosomal RNA", at positions 1804 to 2605 of the family's 2925-position model. The record is from RNAcentral. Lineage: Eukaryota; Metazoa; Chordata; Amphibia; Anura; Megophryidae.
UUUUCAAAAACAUCGCCUUUUGAAUGAUAUAAAAGGUAAUGCCUGCCCAGUGACCAUGUGUUCAACGGCCGCGGUAUUCUGACCGCGCGAAGGUAGCGUAAUCACUUGUUUUUUAAAUAAAGACUAGUAUGAACGGCCGCACGAGGACCUAACUGUCUCCUUAGUCCAAUCAGUGAAACUGAUCUCCUCGUGCAGAAGCGAGGAUUUUUCCAUAAGACGAGAAGACCCUAUGGAGCUUUAAACUAUAUCUUACCAAUAUUUUUUCCUUUCCCUUUCUAUGGGAUCAGUAAACAGUUAAACUCUGUUUGGUAAAAGUUUUAGGUUGGGGCGACCAUGGAGGAAAAAAGAUCCUCCCUGAUGUUUAUAACUAAGAGUAACAACUCUAAGUAUUGAGAUGCUUAACUUAUAUUGACCCAUUUUAUGAUCAACGAACCAAGUUACCCUAGGGAUAACAGCGCAAUCCAUUUCAAGAGUCCCUAUCGACAAAUGGGUUUACGACCUCGAUGUUGGAUCAGGGCAUCCAAGUGGUGCAACCGCUACUAAAGGUUCGUUUGUUCAACGAUUAAAGCCCUACGUGAUC